Molecule: ribosomal RNA, 509 nt
Filed under: uncultured bacterium
Lineage: Bacteria
Description: bacterial SSU rRNA
Rfam family: Bacterial small subunit ribosomal RNA
Source: RNAcentral
UCUGGCUCAGGAUGAACGCUAGCUACAGGCUUAACACAUGCAAGUCGAGGGGCAGCGAGAAGAAAGCUUGCUUCUUGUCGGCGACCGGCGCACGGGUGAGUAACGCGUAUCCAACCUCCCCUUAGUAGGGCAUAGCCCGUAGAAAUGCGGAUUAAUACCCUAUGUUGUUCGAUGCGGACAUCUAAGUUGAACCAAAGGUUUACCGCUAAGGGAUGGGGAUGCGUCUGAUUAGGCAGCAGGCGGGGUAACGGCCCACCUGGCCGACGAUCAGUAGGGGUUCUGAGAGGAAGGUCCCCCACAUUGGAACUGAGACACGGUCCAAACUCCUACGGGAGGCAGCAGUGAGGAAUAUUGGUCAAUGGGCGCGAGCCUGAACCAGCCAAGUAGCGUGCAAGGAUGACGGCUCUAUGGGUUGUAAACUGCUUUUAUGCGGGGAUAAAGUGCGGCACGUGUGCCGUUUUGUAGGUACCGCAUGAAUAAGGACCGGCUAAUUCCGUGCCAGCCGCCGC